RNA transcript from Zingiber officinale, 1969 nucleotides. It is a transcript of the gene named signal peptidase complex subunit 3B-like, with no coding region annotated. Lineage: Eukaryota; Viridiplantae; Streptophyta; Magnoliopsida; Zingiberales; Zingiberaceae. The transcript is spliced from 8 exons. The record is from RefSeq and is a predicted model, not a curated record.
AAACACCAAAGAUUUGCUUAGUAGAUCCCGAGCGAUACGAGAAACUCCUACGAAACCUAGAGAGAGAGAGUCGAUGCAUUCGUUCGGUUACAGGGCGAACGCGGUGGUGACGUUCGCCAUCAUCAUCCUCGGGAUGAUGUGCGCCAUGACCUCCCUCUCCGACAAUUUCAACUCUUCCUCGCCGACUGCCGACGUCAAGAUUUCUUGAAGAUGAACGGAUUAUGUUGCAGACGUUAGAUGUUCUUUAUUUCAUAAAAAAACUGAUUCAUGUUGGAAAUAAUUGGCGUCCAUGUUGUUUCCAGAGCUGUACAGGCAUACGAGGUUCUUAAUAUAAAUUGGUUCCAAAAGCAACCAAAUGGGAAUGAUGAGGUGUUUGUUUUUGUAGCAGCUGAGUAUGAGACACCUCAGAAUGCCUUGAAUCAGGUUUCACUUUGGGAUGGAAUCAUACAAUCUAAAGAGCAUGCUAAAUUUUGGAUUCAUACCACAAAUAAGUAUCAUUUUACUGACCAGGGAAACAACCUUAGAGGAAAGGAUUACAACUUAACGCUUCAUUGGCAUAUUAUGCCCAAGACUGGCAAGAUGUUUGCUGACAAAAUAGUCAUGACUGGAUAUAGCCUUUCUGAGAAUUACAAAUAGGUAUCUCUCUCAUAUGUUUGAGAAAUAGAUGCCAUGUUGUACGAUGCUAGCAGCAUGUUUUUGCAAAUGAAUAGGAAUUUACGGGUUCUCUCUCCUUAUCAUCUUAUGGUGGCUUUUGCAUGAAGAGCAACAAUAGAUUUUAGUUUUAAGCUAUUUCCUUCUUAGUUCACUCUUGAAAGAAUCCUUAACAAUCGUCAUCUAUGUUGCUUCCUGCUUUAUAAUAUAUAUUCUUUGCAUUAAUUGUAGAGUGAAGGUAGAGGCACUGGAUGGCAGGGCUGUAUCUAAGUCCAAUUGAGGUUGAUUAUGAUUAAUUUUGUUUGUUUAUUUUAUCAAUCUCAAAAUAAAAAUAUAUUUAAUUUUUUUUUGUUUUAAAAAGGAUUAUUGAGCCCGAGCUUGAUAAAUCUUUUAAAAAUAUAUCUGUCCUUUCUAUCAAUGUAUAUAUUCAUUCAAAAUCAAGAUCAAUAGAAAGCUCCAAAGGCAGAGUAGCAGUGCCCAUUCCUCUGACACGGCCAAAAGCCCCCCUUAAUUUCAAUGAAGUGGAACGUGAACCCAACACAAGUAGUAAAGAGUGUAUGGUGGUCGCUGCUAUGCUACCCAUUUACAGCAGCAGACAUACACGCAUUUGGAGACCCUCCCUCCAGGCUCACAAUUUCAUGGGCACUUCUGCACCUCCAUUAAUCAAUUCCCUUUUCAUAUAAUAUCAACAGGAAUUAUGAGAGGCUCGACGUAACUCACCAUUUCAUGAUCACACUGCUCCGAGUCUCUUUGAAGGCGUAGGAUACUUACUACACAGACAUGGAGAGUACAAGAGAAAGCAAGAGCAAGGGUAAGGAUGCAUGGGUGAUGAUGAGCAGAGGGUUGUUCCUUAGUGAAGGCUUCAUGUCAUGGCCCCCCAAGAGGUCAUACUCUUGUUGCUUCUGCAAGAGAGUUUUCAUGUCAGCGCAGGCUCUUGGGGGCCAUAUGAACGUCCACAGAAGGGACAAAGCUAGGCUGAGGGAGGAAUCCCCAAAUUAUUAUUUGUGCCUCAACCCUAACCCUGAUCUUGGCUGCUCCCCUGUUCCCAACCUCAACAUGCCACCACCACCUAGCAUGGCAGGAUACUGUGAAAAUUUGAAGAGUGCUGUGGAAAUAGUAGGGUUCAUUGAUGUUGAUGGGGAGGCAGGCACAAAACUACUUAACUUGGACUUGGAGAUCGGACCCUUUGGUGGUCAUGGAGAUCAUGAACUCGAUUUAGAACUUCGACUUGGGUAAUUUUGAUUGAUUUUGUGAUAUUUUAUUGUGUGUCGGACAUAAGCUAUUCUAUUAUGCAUAAUUUAGAACUACUUCCCAUUAA